This is a non-coding RNA of Phascolarctos cinereus (koala), 3916 nucleotides long. NCBI's taxonomy places the organism in Eukaryota, Metazoa, Chordata, Mammalia, Diprotodontia, Phascolarctidae. The record is from RefSeq and is a predicted model, not a curated record.
UAUGUAACUCCAUGAAAGAGCUUUUUUUGUACCUGAUGAAAGUAUUAAGCCAUCAAGCAUUUUUUGGAAGAGAUAUCGACAUCACUGCUCAAAGAUGAAUGAUGACAACUGGCCAGUGAAUUGUGUUCCACAGACAUCACUACAGAAUUGAAAGCUCUCAAUUUGCUACUGCAGGGAAAAGGAAAAAAAAAAUGAAUGGACUUGCUUAAGAAAUGAAUGACAACCUGCUAAAAUUUAGUUUCAGAGGAAAAAAACUUGAAAACACUAAAUAUUGAACAUUUAAUAUUUGGAAAGAACUUCAUUUUAAAUAUAAUUUCAAAUAUAACUUGACCAUUACAUUUUUGAAAUGUCCCAUUUUUUAAAAAAACAAUUCAAACUGUUUGCUAUAAUUCUUAAAAUGUGCAUUUCCCCAAAGAUACUUAUCAAAUAGGAUGGUGAAGUCAUUGAGAGAAGUGUACCUUCUUUUACCUGGCUGGACAUUGAUACACUUUUGCUGGACAUGAUUGAAUUUUAGACUUAUGGUCAUUGUAAAACUCUACAAGCAAAGUCAGAUUGUUAGUGUUUUUAUACAUUGACACUAAAUGUUAAUCCUAUCAGACUACCGAUGUAUUUUUCAGUUGCUAGAUUAUUUUCUUAUUUCAUAUGAUAUCGAGGUGUGCCAUGAAAAUUAAGUUUUUGUUCACAGUGAUGAUACUUAUUUAUGAAUCUUUUGCAAGAAUAGGAACUUAAUUCUACAGUGUUGUGUAGAUAGUUUCUGUGUGUGCUUAUCAGUUACCUCUAGACUUUCACUAUGUCAUGAAACAUGCAAAUGAAUUUUUCACUGAGAGUAAUAGGCCAUAUCAAGCAAUAGCACACUCAGCUUUAUCUUUUAUUUGUGUAAUUUUCCAAAACUUUUCUUAAAAUAGCUUUUAUUUUUAUUUGCUAGAUGUUUUAUUUGUGCUUUUUGAUUAAAGCAGAUUCUUGAACUGCCUGGAUUUUUAUUGAUGCUAUAUGCUUGCAUGUAUUAUUUAAUAAUUAAAUAAUCAUUCAGGUAGAUCUGUAUACUUUGUACUCCUUUUCUGGUAGAUCAUUUAUUGUCUUAAUAUCCUAUCUCCAUGAAAGCACGAAAUAUAACUUAUGUAAAAGUAAACAAAUUCUGAAAGCACAACAUGAUUCAAAUCACUCUACUUUUUUGCAGUUGGCCUUUUUCAUGCCAGGUAUUUGUCCUAUGUAUCUACCAUUGGAUAAAAAGCCACAUUAACUGACAAGAUGACCCUCAGAUUGAAUGAAGUUGUCUUUUUAUUGAAAUACUGAUGAAAAAGUACCAUAGUAAUUUAUGAAAAUAAUUUAAAAGUUUAGUAGAUGGAAGGAAAACAUAGUUUAAUUUUGAAAAGAUUUUUUUAAAAAAUGGAUCUUGCAUUGAUCCUGGCAGUGGAUUCUAACAAAGAGGAGGCACCAUUUGUUUUUCCCUUAUAUUUAAAUUUCCUUCCCUCCUCCGUCUUCCUUUUUUCUCUUAAUCUCAUGUUUGGCUCCAUUUCUUACGGCAAGUAGAACUUGAGCUCUUUUUUAGCCCUGACAGUAAUGGUCAUCUCUUUGCUUCUUAUUAGCCCUUCAUUGUCUGCAAGCAGUAUAUUCUUCCUGAGAUAAACAUUUGACUAUGAAUGUCAUUUGCUUGAAUUCCAGUGAACACACAAGGAUUAAGAUGAAGAGACUUUGAAUUUGUGUGUGGUAAUUUAAACCAAAUAUGAAAAAAUGUAGUGAGAUCAUUUUUAUGAAACUGAAACUUUUUAACAUAUCCUUUAUGAAAGUUCAGAAUUUAGAACAACAUUGAAAUUCUGAUGAGCAGGAGGAAUACUUUUAAUCUAUUAUUAGUACAGUGUAAACCUUCUUCCUCACCUGCUACAGAGUAUUUGCUUUUACUAACUCAAGAGAAUCUUUAUCAUAAUAAACAUGAAUAGUCAUUGAUAUUUUUAGUACCUAUUGUAGCCAGUAUCAGUCAGUAAACAUUUAUUAAGCACAUUCUGUGUGUCAGGCAGUAUGCACACAGUGCAUAUGUGACUUUGGGGAAAAUACUGAGGUUGACAAUGUGAGACAUAAGUUGCUACAGAUACACUAAAACUGAGAGGGUGGUAUAGUUAGAAGAGGGAUUGGACUUGGAGUUAGAAGAACUCAAUUUUAAUCCUUUUUCAUAACUUCUACAGGCCUGUUCUCAUCUGUAAAAUGGGGUUUAUAUAUUAACCUAGCUACCUUAUAAGCCUGAGAGGAUCGAGUGAAACAAUGUUUUAAGAACUUUGUAAACACAAAGCUCUGAAAAUGCUUAGAAGUUGUUAUUAUUGUUAACCAGUGGAAAGCUACCAGUCUCCUUUGCCAGGUUCUAAUGAAGGAGAUAAUUAUAUUCUAAAUCUCAUCCUUUUUGCUAACACUUUCCAGAAUUCUUUGUAAUAAAAAUGUUGGAAUUCAUCCUGUGCACCCAAAUCAGGCUGGUUGCAGUCUAUGCCUUUGCCUCGUCAGGUUCAGAUAAUGGAGUAGUAUACAGAUAAUUUAUUCAAGUGAGGUUUGCUUCAAGGAUUUCUUUGCUGACUUUCACAGAAAAGUUAAUUACAGUGACCCAGCACAAUAAAAUUAUGCCUUUUAUUGUGAGAUUAUAGGACUAUACAAAUGCCAGAUUUUUUUCUAGGCUUUUAGACAGAUUUUUUUUAAUCAACAAAUGUUCAAAAGUUAUACUUUUUCCUAAUGACAUGGUUCUAUCAACUCCUAGCAAACUUGAAGAACAAAGACUUUUUUAAAUGAUAGAAAUACAUUCAAGAAAUGUACAUGACUAAUGUUGUAGGUAAAGAGGCUAACUAUUCAUGUUUAAUAGUAAAUGUAAGGCCUUGAGUAAAACUUUUAAUCAAACAUAUAUAAAAAAUCAGUUAGCACAACAUAUGACAUAUUAAUUUAUUGCUAGAAUAAGUCACAGAAAUGUUUCUAAAGCAGCUAUUCUCUACAAUUUUUACUCAAUAUGAGAUCUAACACUAUUGCACCACAACCGUAUUUUAAGUAUCACAUAUUUUUAUUAACUUCCCAUCAACUCUUAGAUUCUAAAAUUGUGGCAAGAGCCCAAAAGGUUGAUUUUAACAACAGCAGCAAACAAAAACCCUUCACUUUUUUGUCAUCCCUAAUUUUGUAUCAGUCAGUUAAUAAUCAUAUAUUAAGCUCCUAUUAUGUACCAUUCUCCCUAUGCAAAAUAGCUCUUGACAUAAGAAGCCAAAUAGAAAGUACAUAUUUGGGCCAGUCAAGUAUUAAAUAUUAUUCAGAACAUAGAACAUAAUUACUGAAAGCAAGAACUGUUCAGUGGUGAUGUCUGGAUUGCUUGUGCUCCUUGAAAAAGUGGGGAGGGGUCAAGGACUACAAUAAUAGAUGUGCAGAGAAGAAUAAUGAAAUACACUGUUUUAUUUGCCAUUUCCUUCAGGACACCUCUCACAGGGAGGACCUUCUGAUCUCAUUUAUGCAUUCCGCUCUUAGUCUGUAUGAGUUACAUUUUUAAAUUUCUUAAUGCAUUUGGAAAAAUAAUAUAUAUGUUAUGAAAGUAAAAACUACUUUUUCGUUUCCUUGGCUUAACUUAUUAUAAAAAACACAAUAUGCUCAUACUUUGCAAUCUGUUUUUCUAGGUGGGUAAUAUCAUAUGUUGAAGUUUCUAAUAUUUCAGUAAUUAAAUGGAGCUGUAUUAUUGGUGGGAACAUUUCCUUUCACAUUUUGGAAAAUUUUUUAUAAAAUAAUUUAAAUUAAAUUUAUAUUUAACAAUACUAUUGUGGGUCUUCCUUAGCAUAAUUUAUUUAACGUCUUUCGUGAAUAUAGGGUACUAUUAUUUAACUUAUACUACAACCAGGCCUACAAGUAUUGCAUUUUUUUCCUGAAUGUAUGAUGAUUGGUUAAUAAAAACCUUUUUUUCUUUCAA